UCCACUGGAUCAACCUGAAUAGGUAAAUCCAGAAUCUAGUCAGGGAUUCUAGGUUUCAUAUAAAAGGUAGAGAAUCAGGGUGAAUCAACUUUUAUCGGGUUUUUCUUUCACUUUACUCUCAUUCGUUGAAAGCCGAUCGACACUCUCCGGUGAAAGUGAAAAUGUGAGGUGAGAUUUCUUUUGUCACACAUUUAACCGCUUUGCAUGGAAGACGAUCGCAGCCGAUAGCCAUCUGAAAACCGAUGUUGUAUUCAAGGGUUUGCCUCUUAGGUUUCUAUUUCACUGUGUAAGGUUUACACAUUUGGCUUAGACGAUCGGCUGCCGAGGGUAGUGCAAAAUCCAUCUGAAGUCAGCGGGUUGAAUAUGGUCUACAGAAUCACGUCCUAGUUGCUCUGAAAACGACCGAAGCCUCACCCUCUCUCAACUCUUCUUCCUCCUCCUCUUCUAAGAGCGACUGCAGAGGUCGGUUUUGAAAGAAGU
Molecule: long non-coding RNA, 480 nt
Organism: Macadamia integrifolia
Lineage: Eukaryota; Viridiplantae; Streptophyta; Magnoliopsida; Proteales; Proteaceae
Exons: 3
Source: RefSeq, a predicted model, not a curated record